This 403-nucleotide RNase P RNA is filed under the name Deltaproteobacteria bacterium HGW-Deltaproteobacteria-14. RNAcentral describes it as "RNase P RNA component class A". It matches the Rfam family "Bacterial RNase P class A". Rfam says of the family: Ribonuclease P (RNase P) is a ubiquitous endoribonuclease, found in archaea, bacteria and eukarya as well as chloroplasts and mitochondria. Its best characterised activity is the generation of mature 5'-ends of tRNAs by cleaving the 5'-leader elements of precursor-tRNAs. Lineage: Bacteria; Deltaproteobacteria. The record is from RNAcentral.
CGAGUGGACCGGAUGGUCGCUGGCCGCGUCGCCUCGGCGGCGCGACGAGAGGAAAGUCCGAGCUCCGUAGGGCAAUGGUGCUGGUUAACGGCCAGCGGGGGCGACCCCAGGGAAAGUGCCACAGAAAGCAGUCCGCCUCCCGGAGCGCGAGCUCUUUGGAGGUCAGGGUGAAAGCGUGAGGUAAGAGCUCACGGACGCCCAUGGUGACAUGGGAGGUCGGUAAACCCCACCUGGAGCAAGAUCGAUCGUGGGGCUGGCCUUCGGGCCACGGACGGCCCGUCCGAGUCUCCCGGGAAGCAUCGCUCGAGCGGCGGAGCAAUCCGUCGCCUAGAUGAAUGACCAUCGCCGGCGGGUCGGGUGACCACCCGUCGGGACAGAACUCGGCUUACAGGCCGCUCGCUCU